This 484-nucleotide ribosomal RNA is filed under the name uncultured bacterium. RNAcentral's name for it is "partial 16S ribosomal RNA". It matches the Rfam family "Bacterial small subunit ribosomal RNA", at positions 29 to 523 of the family's 1533-position model. The record is from RNAcentral.
AGCGAACGCUGGCGGCGUGCUUAACACAUGCAAGUCGAACGAGAACGGAUUAUAGCUUGCUAUAAUUGUCAGCUAAGUGGCGCACGGGUGAGUAAUGUAUAGGUAAUAUGCCUCUUACUAAGGGAUAACAAAUGGAAACGUUUGCUAAUACCUUAUACUCCUUAUUAACAUAAGUUAAUAAGAGAAAGAUUUAUUGGUAAGAGAUUAGCCUGUAUUGUAUCAGUUAGUUGGUGGGGUAAUGGCUUACCAAGACUAUGACACAUAACUGGUUUGAGAGGAUGAUCAGUCACACUGGAACUGAGACACGGUCCAGACUCCUACGGGAGGCAGCAGUGGGGAAUAUUGCACAAUGGACGAAAGUCUGAUGCAGCAACGCCGCGUGGAGGAUGACACAUUUCGGUGCGUAAACUCCUUUUAUAUGAGAAGAUAAUGACGGUAUUAUAUGAAUAAGCACCGGCUAACUCCGUGCCAGCCGCCGCAGUAA